UCAAGGCUUACGUAGAAGACCAGUGUAUCUAGUUAUGUAAGAAAGACCAAGAAUUGGUGAAUUAUUAAGCUUCAAAAUUUAAUGACGAUGGCAUGUGAAUUUUAUUACAUGCAUGAAAAAAAAAAAUAGUUUCUUCAUUACAAAGUACCUUAAUUAAAUUACUCUAUGGUUGGUGGUCAAGUGUUGGAAAUUAAAUUAAUUAAUUUACCUUUUGGAUGUAUUUAUAUUUGGAAUUUGGAGACCCCCCAAAAAAUCAUUAUUUGAGGUCCACGUGUAUCUCCAAAAGCAAAUAUGUAAAGUAAUCUUCAUGUUCUUUUUAUUUCCAAUACUUCAUAUACCAUCUAAAGUUUCUUCAUUACAAAGUACCUUAAUUAAAUUACUCUAUGGUUGGUGGUCAAGUGUUGGAAAUGAAAUUAAUUAAUUUACCUUUUGGAUGUAUUUAUAUUUGGAAUUUGGAGACCCCCCAAAAAAUCAUUAUUUGAGGUCCACAUGUAUCUCCAAAAGCAAAUAUGUAAUGUAAUCUUCAUGUUCUUUUUAUUUCCAAUACUUCAUAUACCAUCUAAUUUUAUGAACUGAUAUUAUAAAACAGAUUCAAAUCGUGGAACCAAUCUUCUGCAGAAAUUGCAGAAUAAAAUUAUGUAUAAUAAAUUUUUGAGGUUUGAUUUUUCUACGGACCUCAUGCAUAAUGAGAACUUAAUGCAUCG
This 704-nucleotide long non-coding RNA is filed under the name Capsicum annuum. Its description in RNAcentral is "long non-coding RNA (CANN_LNC016621)". Lineage: Eukaryota; Viridiplantae; Streptophyta; Magnoliopsida; Solanales; Solanaceae. The record is from RNAcentral.